Molecule: ribosomal RNA, 253 nt
Filed under: uncultured bacterium
Lineage: Bacteria
Description: partial 16S ribosomal RNA
Rfam family: Bacterial small subunit ribosomal RNA
Source: RNAcentral
UACGUAUGGUGCAAGCGUUAUCCGGAUUUACUGGGUGUAAAGGGAGCGUAGGCGGCGCGUUAAGUCUGAUGUGAAAACCCGAGGCUCAACCACGGGAGUGCAUUGGAAACUGGCGGGCUGGAGUGCCGGAGAGGUAAGCGGAAUUUCUAGUGUAGCGGUGAAAUGCGUAGAUAUUAGGAGGAACACCAGUGGCGAAGGCGGCUUACUGGACGGCAACUGACGCUGAGGCUCGAAAGCGUGGGGAGCAAACAGG